AUACAUGCAGUCGAACGCUUUGUGGUUCAACUGAUUUGAAGAGCUUGCUCAGAUAUGACGAUGGACAUUGCAAAGAGUGGCGAACGGGUGAGUAACACGUGGGAAACCUACCUCUUAGCAGGGGAUAACAUUUGGAAACAGAUGCUAAUACCGUAUAACAAUAGCAACCGCAUGGUUGCUACUUAAAAGAUGGUUCUGCUAUCACUAAGAGAUGGUCCCGCGGUGCAUUAGUUAGUUGGUGAGGUAAUGGCUCACCAAGACGAUGAUGCAUAGCCGAGUUGAGAGACUGAUCGGCCACAAUGGGACUGAGACACGGCCCAUACUCCUACGGGAGGCAGCAGUAGGGAAUCUUCCACAAUGGGCGAAAGCCUGAUGGAGCAACGCCGCGUGUGUGAUGAAGGGUUUCGGCUCGUAAAACACUGUUGUAAGAGAAGAAUGACAUUGAGAGUAACUGUUCAAUGUGUGACGGUUCUUA
Molecule: ribosomal RNA, 475 nt
Filed under: Weissella cibaria
Lineage: Bacteria; Bacillati; Bacillota; Bacilli; Lactobacillales; Lactobacillaceae
Description: bacterial SSU rRNA
Rfam family: Bacterial small subunit ribosomal RNA
Source: RNAcentral